RNAcentral lists this ribosomal RNA (374 nucleotides) under uncultured bacterium. RNAcentral describes it as "bacterial SSU rRNA". It matches the Rfam family "Bacterial small subunit ribosomal RNA", at positions 421 to 794 of the family's 1533-position model. The record is from RNAcentral.
UGGGGAAUAUUGCACAAUGGGGGGAUAACGGGCGCCACGCGUGGCGCCGUGAAGGUACCCGGAGAAUAAGCAUCGGCUAACUCCGUGCCAGCAGCCGCGGUAAUACGGAGGAUGCGAGCGUUAUCCGGAUUUAUUGGGUUUAAAGGGUGCGCAGGCGGGCGUCUAAGUCAGCGGUGAAAGUUCCCGGCUCAACCGGGUCCGUGCCGAUGAUACUGGGGGCCUUGAAUGCGGUCGAGGCCGGCGGAAUGUGGCGUGUAGCGGUGAAAUGCAUAGAUAUGCCACAGAACACCGAUAGCGAAGGCAGCUGGCCGGGCCUGCAUUGACGCUGAGGCACGAAAGCGUGGGAAUCGAACAGGAUUAGAUACCCUGGUAGU